AAUAUUCUUGAGCAUGACAUAUUUGGUUAUAAUGAACAUAAACAAUUAAGCUUUAUUGUUUGUGAAUAUUUAUACAACAUGGAUAAGAGAAUCAAACCCCAUAUAGCAUGCAUAACGCAUCGGUCAAUGGUGUAAUGUUUUAAUAUGCUCUGAGAAAAGUAAUAUGGAUAAAAUCUACAAUUUAAAUGGUGACUUCGAUCUUCCCGAAUAUCUACUUGAAUUACCCAUCUUUCUUUUAUAGAUUGCGUACAUAUAUAGAUGAAACAAAUUUAAAUGAAACUUUCGAAAAAUAGGAGUAUAUCGAAAUUGAAACCAAUCAGGAACAUCCAAAAUCUAAAUAGAGAUAAAAAAGCUUUCUUACAAAUUUUUGCUCAAUACGGUGGUUUAAUAUUUAAUGGAGAGUUUUCCGCCAUGCACACCUACAAAUCUUUCACCUUUUUCUGGUGAUAUGCGGCUUCAAUAUCUCUCUCCACUUUAUCUUAUUCAUGCUAUCUCUUAUAUCAAAUUCCUUCAUUUUGUUUGUCGAACAAAUAUCCUAGCACCCAGCUGUCCAAGCCUGUCGGUGACCGGGGUGGCAUUUCUAAGCUCAGAAAUUUAUCUUAUCGUAUGUCUUUAUACAUCAGUAAUCGAAGAAUAAAGGGAAAAUUUUACAGUUCCUUAUCAGGACUGAAUCUUUUACCAUCGGCGUCCAGGUAUACAUCAUAAACCCACUAGGCCGCGUUUUUAUACAUUUAAUAAAAUAUGCCGAAUUAUUACUCAUGGAAUUGAAAUAUAAAUUUAUUCUUAGAAGCAUUGCAUAAUAAUAUAAUUAUGAGAUCUUUGAGAAUUUAGAGGGAUAAAUAUAGAUAUUUUAAAAAUAUUAUGUAAUAUUAUAUAAUCCUAUAUGUUAAAAAAAAUAACGGAUAUGCUAGUACCAAUAGGGCUGGGAAACAAAUAAUUUUUAUUACAAACAAAUCUAAAAGCGAUUCAAAUAUAAUUCAAAAAAAAAAUAAAAU
Molecule: long non-coding RNA, 995 nt
Organism: Gordionus sp. m RMFG-2023
Lineage: Eukaryota; Metazoa; Nematomorpha; Gordioida; Chordodea; Parachordodidae
Exons: 4
Source: RefSeq, a predicted model, not a curated record